This 185-nucleotide small nuclear RNA is filed under the name Rhipicephalus microplus (southern cattle tick). Its description in RNAcentral is "U2 spliceosomal RNA". It matches the Rfam family "U2 spliceosomal RNA". From Rfam's summary of the family: U2 is a small nuclear RNA (snRNA) component of the spliceosome (involved in pre-mRNA splicing). Complementary binding between U2 snRNA (in an area lying towards the 5' end but 3' to hairpin I) and the branchpoint sequence (BPS) of the intron results the bulging out of an unpaired adenosine, on the BPS, which initiates a nucleophilic attack at the intronic 5' splice site, thus starting the first of two transesterification reactions that mediate splicing. The record is from Rfam by way of RNAcentral. Lineage: Eukaryota; Metazoa; Arthropoda; Arachnida; Ixodida; Ixodidae.
AUGUUUUUGUGUGCGUCUUAAUGAAUAAAAAGUCUGUUCUUAUCAGCUUAAUAUCUGUGACGGAUCCUACUUGGAUCCAAGAUAUUAAACUUAUUUUUGUGAUGCGGCGGAGUGCUUGAAGCUUUCUUCACCUCCGCCACGGGUCGGCCUGUUAUCGUACUACCUCCGGCCUUGGCCCACUCACC